RNAcentral lists this long non-coding RNA (239 nucleotides) under Elaeis guineensis (African oil palm). RNAcentral describes it as "long non-coding RNA (EGUI_LNC041629)". The record is from RNAcentral. Lineage: Eukaryota; Viridiplantae; Streptophyta; Magnoliopsida; Arecales; Arecaceae.
AACAACUCUGCUGGGACCUUGCAAAAUUUUUCAGACAAAACAGGGACAGAUGUUCUUCCCGUGAUGGAUUAAUAUGUCACUCAAAACGGACCAUAUACAGGUAUGACCAAGAGAGAUGGUCAUAUUCAUUGAAAUUAAUAUGUCACUCAAAACGGACCAUACAUUAAAUACUGUCACAGAGGGGCUUGUUAAUUUGUCUAAGUAGAUCUGGGUCAUGAUGUAACCAAACUCUUGACUUG